UUUUUUUUAAUGCUCCCCGGGUGUGUCAGCUAUUUUUAUUAUUUUUUUUUUCCCUCCCUUCCCCCCACCCCGCCACUCCUCCCCCUCGCAACACCCACCGCCGGCAGCGGGGAGGUAAGAGGAGGAGGAAGCGGCAGGGUCUGGGCUGCCAGCAGCGGGAGGACAAAACCCCCAUGAAAUAAAUACAAUCCCACAUCCAGCUGGGAGGAUGGGACGGGAGCGGCAGCGCUCCGCCGGCCCUCAAUGGGGGUUUCAUUGAGCGGAUAUUUGGGCUGUGCUGCGGAGCGGUCGCACCGAGCUCGCCGCACUCUUUUCAGGUUCUGGGCGCACCUUUCCUCUCCUUGGUGGAACUACCGUAAAAUCCGCCUCUAACAGGAGCCCCCAGCCCGGGAAUCGACACGGACAGCCCCGCCAUGCCGGGAAUGAUCAGCAAGAACCCAGACCUCGAGUUCGACUCCUUACAGCCUUGCUUCUACCCAGACGAAGAUGAUUUCUAUUUAUGCGGGCCGGACUCGGCCCCCCCCGGGGAGGACAUCUGGAAGAAGUUCGAGCUGCUGCCCACCCCUCCGCUGUCCCCCAGCCGGGCCGGGCUGCAAGAGCACCCCCCGGGGGGGGCUCCCUUGCCGUGGGGAGGGGCGGCCCUGGGGAGCUGCCGCCCCUCUGACCCCCUGGACUGGGCGUCCGAGUUGCUCCUCCUGCCCCCCGAGGCCGAGCUGUGGGGCGGCGCGGACGGGGCGGAUUUCUUCGAGACGGGCCUCGGCGCGAGCAACAACCUCAACUCCAUCAUCAUCCAGGACUGCAUGUGGAGCGGCUUCUCCGCCCGCGAGAAGCUGGAGCGGGCGGUCAGCGAGAAGCUGCAGGGCAAGCCGCCCGCCGCUGCCCCGCCGCCACCGCCCCCGGCUGUUCCCGCCGCCGCUGUCGCCGCCGCGAACAGCCCCACCACCGGUCCCGGCCGCGCGGAGCUGGGCGGCUCCGUGCCCGAGUGCGUGGACCCGGCCGUGGUCUUCCCCUUCCCCGUCAACAAGCGGGAGGCGGCGGUGCCGAGCGGCGGUGAGGCCCUGCGGGGCGGCCGCCCGCCGCGUCCCGUCGGGGACAGCCGGGCCAGCAGCAGCUCCGGGGACGACACGCUCAGCGACUCGGAUGACGAAGAUGAGGAGGAAGAGGAUGAAGAAGAAGAAAUAGAUGUUGUGACAGUGGAGAAAAGACGCUCCUCCUCCAACAAGGCUGUUACCACCCUCACUAUUACAGUGCGUCCUAAAAAUACCACUUUCCCAUCGGUCAGGACACAGCAGAAUGAACUGAUUUUAAAGCGUUGUGCACCAAUUCACCAGCAGCAUAAUUAUGCUGCUCCUUCUCCAUACAUGGAGAGUGAAGAUGCUCCACCACAGAAAAAGCUAAAAACCGAGGUGCCCCGUCCAGUAAAACCCAUGAUCCAACCAAAGUCUAAGAGUUCAAGUCCUCGAAACUCUGAUUCGGAGGAUAGUGAACGUCGACGUAACCAUAAUAUCUUGGAGCGUCAAAGGCGUAAUGAUCUACGGUCCAGUUUCCUCACGUUAAGGGACCAUGUUCCAGAACUUGUUAAAAAUGAGAAAGCUGCAAAAGUUGUGAUUUUGAAAAAAGCCACUGAAUAUGUCCAUUCCCUUCAGGCAGAGGAGCAGAAGUUAUUGCUAGAAAAGGAGAAAUUGCAAGCCAGGCAACAACAGUUGCUAAAGAAAAUAGAGUACAAGCGGACUUGCUAAACUUUUUUUCUAUUUUUUCUUUUCUUUUUUUUUUUUUGGCUGACCAGGACAGUCAUUGCCACUUUGCACAUUUUUGAUUCUUUAAAAAAAUAAAUUGUGUUUUUUGACGUUAAGAAUGUUGGUUUUACUUUCAAUUCAGUCCCUGAAGUAAUUGACAAACUUUAUUAUCCGGGUACGGAGCAAAUGGAUGUUCUUGCAAGGAGUUUAUUGUAAGACUACCAAACAACAAUGGACUGCCUUUGUUUUUCUUCUUAAGAACUGUAGAUGGUGGAUUUCUUUAUUUUUUAAUUGUUGUGAGCAUUUGGAGCUGCUGAUGACAUCUAGUUGAGUUUAAAACAUUCAUUCCUAAUUUUUAUGGUGCUUAUGUUCUAACAGAUGUUACUUUAGGGGGUUGGCAUUUGUACCCCUCUGGGAAUUUUCUGUAAAUACCAUCUACACACUUGCCUUUUGUACAUGUCUUGGGUUAUGAGAGGUGGCUUUUGCUGCCAGUAUUAGACUGGAAGUUCAUACCUAAGUACUGUAAUACCUCAAUGUUUGAGGAGCAUGUUUUUGUAUACAAAUAUAUUGUUAAUCUCUGUUAUGUACUGUACUAAUUCUUACAUUGCCUGUAUACUUUAGUAUGAUGCUGAUACAUAACUAAAUUUGAUACUUAUAUUUUCGUAUGAAAAUGAGUUGUGAAAGUUUUGAGUAGAUAUUACUUUAUCACUUUUUUGAACUAAGAAACUUUUGUAAAGAAAUUUACUAUAUAUGCCUUUUCCUAGCCUGUUUCUUCCAGUUAAUGUAUUUGUUAAUGUUUGGUGCAUAGAACUGGGUAACUGCAAAGUUCUGUGUUUAAUUUCUUCCAACAGUGUACAUUUAGUGCUGCGUCUUAUAGCACUUUGAAAUACCUCAUGUUUAUGAAAAUAAAUAGCAAUUACAUGAUGUGCCAUUUACUAUUUUUCUUUUAAAUGAUGUUCCUUGAAAUAAAAUCUUUAACUUUACAAUGUUUAUGAAAUACAAAAACCUAGUCCCACACCAAGGGAUUUGCACUCUCAAAAGUAUAGAUGAUGAUUUAGGAGAAGUCAGCCAGUCAGGACAUUGCCAUUUCUGGUUAAGAAGUAAUUGCAAGAACAAUUUUCCUAUUCUUUCCCACUUUGUAUGUCUCUUGUGAUGUCGGAAUCUUUGCAGGGGCCUGGCCAUACCGCAGCUGACGGAGAGACUUCGAUGUCUUGUGAAGACUUCUCGAACGUGAACAGUGAAGUGUGAGAGGGGCUAACAGACUUCAAUUAAUGACAAUUAAUGUCAUUUCUUUUCUAGCCAAAGAUCAUCUUUUUUUUUUUUUUACUACUAUGCUAGGUUACCAGAAUUUAACAAUACUGAAGACACAGUUAUGAAGUAUGGAGAGCUGUGAAGCCUGUGGUCAUAGGCGUGUAGCCUGGAAAGAAAUUGUCUGUACAGGUACUUCUAAUGUUCUCUUUCUCCAUGCCAAACUUGAAAAAUAAGGUAUGGAUUGGUGAACAAAGGAUGAAGUUGAAAGGAGCUAAUCUAGGACAUGUGAUUCUUACUCAGCCAUGACGCACAAGAUACAGCUUGCUUGGUGGCUGACCUGCACAACAUCUCCAUUUGCCAUGAGGUAAGACCAGUACAAGAGCAAAGGCACCACAGUAACGUGUACCAUAUAUCCGUGCCCUACAAUAACUUGGUGUAUUGUAGCCUGUGUGUUUGACCCCAGCUAACUUCUGUACCAAAAACACUGGGAUUUAAACUUAGGUCUCAGUGCAGCAAACCCGUAUCAUCAACUGGCACAAAUUGGUGCACUGCUGCUUGGAUUCAGCUUGGCCUAUAUGACUUGAAGAUUUCACCUGAAUAUGUAGACUUACGCAUUAUCUUCUCAAAUCAGACUUGAGAACUGCAACAGUUCCAUAAACAGAACCUUUAUUCCUUACCAUUUUUGGAGGACAGAAAAAAGAAAAAAGGUUGCUCAGAGUCGCAUGUAGCCAAGUUCUGAAUGUUUUCAAGGAUGGGAGACUGAACAGCCAGACAACGCUUCAAUUUUUGACUGCCGUGACAAUCAGAUUUUCCUAAUGUCUCUUCGGAAUUUUCUUUGUUGUACCUUAAGUCCCUUGCCUCCUGUCUUUUGUGUUUCACCUCAGAGAAGAGUCUGGCUCCACCUCUGCAACCUUCCAUCAGGUAGCUGAAGACAGCAAUUACUUCUCCUUUCUCGAGUUCUUUCCCGUACUGUUGUGUUAGCGGAGCACUUGGAGUAUAAUAAAGGUGUCAAAUACUUA
RNA transcript from Numida meleagris (helmeted guineafowl), 4006 nucleotides. It is a transcript of the gene named MYCN proto-oncogene, bHLH transcription factor, with no coding region annotated. The transcript has 4 exons. NCBI's taxonomy places the organism in Eukaryota, Metazoa, Chordata, Aves, Galliformes, Numididae. The record is from RefSeq and is a predicted model, not a curated record.